GGGCGAUUAGCUCAGCUGGCUAGAGCGCAUCCCUUACAAGGAUGAAGUCGGCGGUUCGAAUCCGUCAUCGCCCACCA
This 77-nucleotide transfer RNA is filed under the name Candidatus Brocadiia bacterium. RNAcentral describes it as "Candidatus Brocadiae bacterium (aquatic metagenome) tRNA-Val". It matches the Rfam family "tRNA". Rfam says of the family: Transfer RNA (tRNA) molecules are approximately 80 nucleotides in length. Their secondary structure includes four short double-helical elements and three loops (D, anti-codon, and T loops). Further hydrogen bonds mediate the characteristic L-shaped molecular structure. tRNAs have two regions of fundamental functional importance: the anti-codon, which is responsible for specific mRNA codon recognition, and the 3' end, to which the tRNAs corresponding amino acid is attached (by aminoacyl-tRNA synthetases). tRNAs cope with the degeneracy of the genetic code in two manners: having more than one tRNA (with a specific anti-codon) for a particular amino acid; and 'wobble' base-pairing, i.e. permitting non-standard base-pairing at the 3rd anti-codon position. Lineage: Bacteria; Pseudomonadati; Planctomycetota; Candidatus Brocadiia. The record is from RNAcentral.